UACGGGGGGGGCAAGCGUUGUUCGGAAUUACUGGGCGUAAAGGGCUCGUAGGUGGCCAACUAAGUCAGACGUGAAAUCCCUCGGCUUAACCGGGGAACUGCGUCUGAUACUGGAUGGCUUGAGUUUGGGAGAGGGAUGCGGAAUUCCAGGUGUAGCGGUGAAAUGCGUAGAUAUCUGGAGGAACACCGGUGGCGAAGGCGGCAUCCUGGACCGGCAUUGACGCUGAGGAGCGAAAGCCAGGGGAGCAAACGGG
This 253-nucleotide ribosomal RNA is filed under the name uncultured bacterium. RNAcentral's name for it is "partial 16S ribosomal RNA". It matches the Rfam family "Bacterial small subunit ribosomal RNA", at positions 524 to 776 of the family's 1533-position model. The record is from RNAcentral.